GUGGCCCGCGGGGCAGCCGGCGAGGUCCCGGAGCACGGUCAGGUCUGCUAGCGAGCAGCGCGGUUCGGGUGUCAGCUGCAAGCGGAGGUGGCCGCGCCCACACAGCCGCUUCCCCGCCACCGAUGUCUCUUAGUUGCCACUUUGCAAGGCGCAGUGGAGGUGAAGAUGCUGAUGAACAUAAGGUCUGGUGCUUGAAAGAAUUGGUGAAGCUCUUCAAGGAGAUGAGAAUUGAACUCAGGACCUUGUGUUUGCCAGGCAGGCGCUUAUGCCCCUGA
This 275-nucleotide long non-coding RNA is filed under the name Chinchilla lanigera (long-tailed chinchilla). RNAcentral describes it as "lncRNA (ENSCLAG00000023670.1)". The record is from RNAcentral. Lineage: Eukaryota; Metazoa; Chordata; Mammalia; Rodentia; Chinchillidae.